UUCAGAGAUUAGCUUCCCAGGCUAGAUGGUGUUUUUUUUAUUAGUAGCUUAAUUAACAAGUCUUCACUCAAGCUUCCAAGUACAACAUCUAAGUGAAAGUAUUUUGUUCCUAAGAAAAUCUCAGCUCUAGGUAAAUGAAAUUUUGUAGUGAUCCACAUCUUUAGGGAAAUCAUCAGUAGUAGCUUUGACUCAUCACUCUUGCAAAACCCAACACCAAGUGGAGAAAGAGAGUGGUGUGAGCCUGUGGAAGUCAUUGGAAUAGACUUGCCUUUCCUGGUCUUCUGGACUCUGCAAUGCUUAAAAGAGGUGAAUGGAGGCACUUGGAGAGGCCCAAGAAAAAAAAUGUAAGAACUAGGGCUGCCUUGAAAUUCACAGGAAGGUUUAAACUGGCUCCGACCCAAGGAGAAAGAAUCAGAUUGUGGUUGGCAAUUGACUGAAAGAGAAAGGGAAGAAAUUUAAGUCAUGUAAAAUUUUUGAAUAAAGGAGUUGGACUUAAGUUCAAUGCAUAGGAAUAAAAGAAGAAGGGAGUAAAUCCUCCUACUCAACCCUCCACCUGAAAACUACAUACACACUAAGGAUUCUGGUUCCUGGCUAAAAACCUUUCUGAUUUUCCAGGCCUGACCAUGGACAGAUACAAAGUCUUUCCCAGAAAUUAUUGUGCCAAUUAGAAGCAUAUCUGUUGAAGACUUGGAGGUGAGAAAUGAGCUGACCCAAUAUCACUGGGAGAAA
RNAcentral lists this long non-coding RNA (729 nucleotides) under Equus caballus (horse). RNAcentral's name for it is "lncRNA (ENSECAG00000058231.1)". The record is from RNAcentral. Lineage: Eukaryota; Metazoa; Chordata; Mammalia; Perissodactyla; Equidae.